GGUAAGAUGGCCGAGCGGUCUAAGGCGCCAGGUUAAGGUUACCUUAACGAGUAAUUCCUGGUCCAGGUAACUGGGCGUGAGUUCGAAUCUCACUCUUAUCA
RNAcentral lists this transfer RNA (101 nucleotides) under Parascedosporium putredinis. It matches the Rfam family "tRNA". From Rfam's summary of the family: Transfer RNA (tRNA) molecules are approximately 80 nucleotides in length. Their secondary structure includes four short double-helical elements and three loops (D, anti-codon, and T loops). Lineage: Eukaryota; Fungi; Ascomycota; Sordariomycetes; Microascales; Microascaceae. The record is from Rfam by way of RNAcentral.